UUAAGUUAAUAAGGGCGCACGGUGGAUGCCUUGGCACUAGGAGCCGACGAAGGACGUGACAAACGACGAUAUGCCUUGGGUAGCUGUAAGUAAGCGAUGAUCCAGGGAUUUCCGAAUGGGGGAACCCAACAGGUAAUACCUGUUACCCACAUCUGUUAAGGAUGUGAGGAGGAAGACGCAGUGAACUGAAACAUCUAAGUAGCUGCAGGAAGAGAAAGCAAAAGCGAUUGCCUUAGUAGCGGCGAGCGAAACGGCAGAAGGGCAAACCGAAGAGUUUACUCUUCGGGGUUGUAGGACUGCAAUGUGGACUCAAAGAUUAUAGAAGAAUGAUUUGGGAAGAUCAGCCAAAGAGAGUAAUAGCCUCGUAUUUAAAAUAGUCUUUGUACCUAGCAGUAUCCUGAGUACGGCGGGACACGUGAAAUCCCGUCGGAAUCUGGGAGGACCAUCUCCCAACCCUAAAUACUCCCUAGUGACCGAUAGUGAACCAGUACCGUGAGGGAAAGGUGAAAAGCACCCCGGGAGGGGAGUGAAAUAGAACCUGAAACCGUGUGCCUACAACAAGUUCGAGCCCGUUAAUGGGUGAGAGCGUGCCUUUUGUAGAAUGAACCGGCGAGUUACGUUAUGAUGCGAGGUUAAGUUGAAGAGACGGAGCCGUAGGGAAACCGAGUCUGAAUAGGGCGCCUUAGUAUCAUGACGUAGACCCGAAACCAUGUGACCUACCCAUGAGCAGGUUGAAGGUGCGGUAAGACGCACUGGAGGACCGAACCAGGGCACGUUGAAAAGUGCUUGGAUGACUUGUGGGUAGCGGAGAAAUUCCAAACGAACUUGGAGAUAGCUGGUUCUCUCCGAAAUAGCUUUAGGGCUAGCGUCGAUAUUAGAGAUUCUUGGAGGUAGAGCACUGUUUGGGUGAGGGGUCCAUCCCGGAUUACCAAUCUCAGAUAAACUCCGAAUGCCAAUGAAUUAUGGUCGGCAGUCAGACUGCGAGUGCUAAGAUCCGUAGUCGAAAGGGAAACAGCCCAGACCACCAGCUAAGGUCCCAAAAUAAUUGUUAAGUGGAAAAGGAUGUGGGGUUGCACAGACAACUAGGAUGUUAGCUUAGAAGCAGCUAUUCAUUCAAAGAGUGCGUAAUAGCUCACUAGUCGAGUGACCCUGCGCCGAAAAUGUACCGGGGCUAAAACAAUUUACCGAAGCUGUGGAUACCUUUAUAGGUAUGGUAGGAGAGCGUUCUAUGUGUGAUGAAGGUAUACCGUGAGGAGUGCUGGAACGCAUAGAAGUGAGAAUGCCGGUAUGAGUAGCGAAAGACAGGUGAGAAUCCUGUCCACCGUAAGACUAAGGUUUCCAGGGGAAGGCUCGUCCGCCCUGGGUUAGUCGGGACCUAAGGAGAGACCGAAAGGUGUAUCCGAUGGACAACAGGUUGAUAUUCCUGUACUAGAGUAUGUAGUGAUGGAGGGACGCAGUAGGCUAACUAAAGCAGACGAUUGGAAGAGUCUGUCUAAGCAGUGAGGUGUGAAUUGAGUCAAAUGCUUAAUUCUAUAACAUUGAGCUGUGAUGGGGAGCGAAGUUUAGUAGCGAAGUUAGUGAUGUCACACUGCCAAGAAAAGCUUCUAGCGUUUAAACAUACUCUACCCGUACCGCAAACCGACACAGGUAGUCGAGGCGAGUAGCCUCAGGUGAGCGAGAGAACUCUCGUUAAGGAACUCGGCAAAAUGACCCCGUAACUUCGGGAGAAGGGGUGCUGACUUUAAGUCAGCCGCAGUGAAUAGGCCCAAGCAACUGUUUAUCAAAAACACAGCUCUCUGCUAAAUCGUAAGAUGAUGUAUAGGGGGUGACGCCUGCCCGGUGCUGGAAGGUUAAGAGGAGUGCUUAGCGUAAGCGAAGGUAUGAAUUGAAGCCCCAGUAAACGGCGGCCGUAACUAUAACGGUCCUAAGGUAGCGAAAUUCCUUGUCGGGUAAGUUCCGACCCGCACGAAAGGCGUAAUGAUUUGGGCACUGUCUCAACGAGAGACUCGGUGAAAUUUUAGUACCUGUGAAGAUGCAGGUUACCCGCGACAGGACGGAAAGACCCCAUGGAGCUUUACUGCAGUUUGAUAUUGAGUGUCUGUACCACAUGUACAGGAUAGGUAGGAGUCUAAGAGAUCGGGACGCCAGUUUCGAAGGAGACGCUGUUGGGAUACUACCCUUGUGUUAUGGCCACUCUAACCCAGAUAGGUGAUCCCUAUCGGAGACAGUGUCUGACGGGCAGUUUGACUGGGGCGGUCGCCUCCUAAAAGGUAACGGAGGCGCCCAAAGGUUCCCUCAGAAUGGUUGGAAAUCAUUCGCAGAGUGUAAAGG
RNAcentral lists this ribosomal RNA (2331 nucleotides) under Streptococcus pneumoniae. RNAcentral's name for it is "bacterial LSU rRNA". It matches the Rfam family "Bacterial large subunit ribosomal RNA", at positions 3 to 2357 of the family's 2925-position model. The record is from RNAcentral. Lineage: Bacteria; Bacillati; Bacillota; Bacilli; Lactobacillales; Streptococcaceae.